GUCUAUGGCCAUGCUACCCUAACAAGCUCGAUCCCAUCUGAUCUCGGAAGCUAAGAAGUAUCAGGCCUGGUUAAUACUUGGAUGGGAGACCACCUAGGAAGAGCAGGUACUGUAGGUG
Molecule: ribosomal RNA, 118 nt
Filed under: Pteropus alecto (black flying fox)
Lineage: Eukaryota; Metazoa; Chordata; Mammalia; Chiroptera; Pteropodidae
Source: RNAcentral